GACGAACGCUGGCGGCGUGCUUAACACAUGCAAGUCGAACGAUGAAGAAGAGCUUGCUCUUCGGAUUAGUGGCGAACGGGUGAGUAACACGUGACUAACCUGCCCCUUUCUCUGGGAUAACGCUCCGAAAGGAGUGCUAAUACCGGAUACUCACAUCGAGGCACAUGCCUUGAUGUGGAAAGUUUUUCGGAAAGGGAUGGAGUCGCGGCCUAUCAGCUUGUUGGUGAGGUAACGGCUCACCAAGGCGACGACGGGCAGCCGGCCUGAGAGGGCGACCGGCCACACUGGGACUGAGACACGGCCCAGACUCCUACGGGAGGCAGCAGUGGGGAAUAUUGCACAAUGGGCGAAAGCCUGAUGCAGCGACGCCGCGUGAGGGAUGAAGGUCUUCGGAUUGUAAGCCUCUUUCAGUAGGGACGAAGCGAAAGUGACGGUACCUAAAGAAGAAGCACCGGCUAACUACGUGCCAGCAGCCGCAGUAA
RNAcentral lists this ribosomal RNA (482 nucleotides) under uncultured bacterium. Its description in RNAcentral is "partial 16S ribosomal RNA". It matches the Rfam family "Bacterial small subunit ribosomal RNA", at positions 28 to 523 of the family's 1533-position model. The record is from RNAcentral.